Sorghum bicolor (sorghum) is the source of this 751-nucleotide RNA transcript. RefSeq lists it as uncharacterized. NCBI's taxonomy places the organism in Eukaryota, Viridiplantae, Streptophyta, Magnoliopsida, Poales, Poaceae. The transcript has 4 exons. The record is from RefSeq and is a predicted model, not a curated record.
GUGGCCCGCGACACAGGUCCAUUUGGAAGCCCACCACUCGCGCUUCUCGCCCCUGUGGGAGCCGGGUUUUCAUGGGGAUACCUCUCCGGCCUGCUAACAUCGGGCGAUAUUCCCCAAGUCACCUCGCCACCUCGAGACCUCGACUCGACAUCUUCCUCCGUCCUCUCCUCUCCUCCGACGCCGCCCGUUCGUCCUUGCCUCUUCUCCAACGCUGCCCCUCCGUCCUCGCAUCUCCGUCGCCAUCGCCCUGCACACCAGCUGCACCUCCGUCUCUGCAGGUGUUGGGGCUGCGGACGGACGCAUCUUCCUCCCUCCACCCAGUGCAUCUGCUCGUGCAUCUCUUCAUCCGUCGCUCGUCGAUACGACCGUGCCAGCUCCAUCACUGCUCCGUGACUGGCUGGCCUCAUCCCAAGAUCCAGUACGAGAUCUUAGUAAUUUGAACUUAUCUAGUCAUCUGGUGCCUGAGCUUGGGAAAUUGGAGCAUCUGCAGUACCUAGCUCUGGGUGACGUAUGAUUGGAGAAGAAAAAUGCAGAUGCAGUGCGUCAAAAGCUUAUGAAAAAUAAACUAUAAUUUAUUUUUUAUAGGUCUUGGAUAUCUGGAUGGAGAUGAUAUAUGAUUAGGUGACAAUGGAUUAGUUAGUUUGAAUUUUCUACUUGAAUUAAAUUUUCUGUGUAUUGGACUAUGUCAAAUAAUUUUGAUCUUAUGAUUUUUCAUGCAUUAUGUGCAUGAAAAUAUUGUGGUUGGCAUCGA